AUUGAACGCUGGCGGCAGGCCUAACACAUGCAAGUCGAGCGGAUGAAGGGAGCUUGCUCCUGGAUUCAGCGGCGGACGGGUGAGUAAUGCCUAGGAAUCUGCCUGGCAGUGGGGGAUAACGUCCGGAAACGGGCGCUAAUACCGCAUACGUCCUGAGGGAGAAAGUGGGGGAUCUUCGGACCUCACGCUAUCAGAUGAGCCUAGGUCGGAUUAGCUAGUUGGUGGGGUGAAGGCCUACCAAGGCGACGAUCCGUAACUGGUCUGAGAGGAUGAUCAGUCACACUGGAACUGAGACACGGUCCAGACUCCUACGGGAGGCAGCAGUGGGGAAUAUUGGACAAUGGGCGAAAGCCUGAUCCAGCCAUGCCGCGUGUGUGAAGAAGGUCUUCGGAUUGUAAAGCACUUUAAGUUGGGAGGAAGGGCAGUAAGUUAAUACCUUGCUGUUUUGACGUUACCAACAGAAUAAGCACCGGCUAACUUCGUG
This 484-nucleotide ribosomal RNA is filed under the name uncultured bacterium. Its description in RNAcentral is "partial 16S ribosomal RNA". It matches the Rfam family "Bacterial small subunit ribosomal RNA", at positions 30 to 507 of the family's 1533-position model. The record is from RNAcentral.